AGGCUGACUGCUUUACCUUCUAUGGUCCAGUUGGUGUCUGUUUCACAACAAUUACAUCUGAUAGACACCAGUUUUCUACAGAAAGGGCAGACAAGAAUUGUCAGACACAGAAAGAACCUGGACUAAUAUCAGCUGAGGUUCAAUGAUUUUUCGCAAAGUAAGCGGCACUGUGAACCCGCUACUUAGGUGAGAAAACGAAACAAUCUCUACCUAAGUAGUGCAUCUCUCAAUCAAAACGAAUUCCUUUCUUCCCAGCGGUAAUUUACUGUCCAGAUUUUCAAUACCAUAAGAUUUCCCCAUGUUUUGAGCUUUAUUAAAUUGGAAAAAUAGUCUUAUUUGUAUCAUUUUUGAAACAUUAUUCUACAGAUAAAUUUUGUAUUUUGAGAUUGAACUACUUUUCUAUGGUUACAGUUUAUACAUUUUUAUUGCUGUAUCA
RNAcentral lists this long non-coding RNA (436 nucleotides) under Chinchilla lanigera (long-tailed chinchilla). RNAcentral's name for it is "lncRNA (ENSCLAG00000024224.1)". Lineage: Eukaryota; Metazoa; Chordata; Mammalia; Rodentia; Chinchillidae. The record is from RNAcentral.